UACGUAGGUCGCGAGCGUUAUCCGGAUUUAUUGGGCGUAAAGCGAGCGCAGGCGGUUUGAUAAGUUUGAAGUGAAAGGGUGUGGCUUAACCAUAGUAUGCUUUGGAAACUGUUUAACUUGAGUGCAGGAGGGGAGAGUGGAAUUCCAUGUGUAGCGGUGAAAUGCGUAGAUAUAUGGAGGAACACCGGUGGCGAAAGCGGCUCCCUGGUCUGUAACUGACGCUGAGGCUCGAAAGCGUGGGGAGCAAACAGG
RNAcentral lists this ribosomal RNA (252 nucleotides) under uncultured bacterium. RNAcentral describes it as "partial 16S ribosomal RNA". It matches the Rfam family "Bacterial small subunit ribosomal RNA", at positions 524 to 776 of the family's 1533-position model. The record is from RNAcentral.